This 306-nucleotide unclassified non-coding RNA is filed under the name plant metagenome. RNAcentral's name for it is "partial contains 5.8S ribosomal RNA, internal transcribed spacer 2, and large subunit ribosomal RNA". The stretch from base 1 to 105 matches the Rfam family "5.8S ribosomal RNA", at positions 50 to 154 of the family's 154-position model. The record is from RNAcentral.
GAAAUGCGAUAAGUAAUGUGAAUUGCAGAAUUCUGUGAAUCAUCGAAUCUUUGAACGCACAUUGCGCCCGCCAGUAUUCUGGCGGGCAUGCCUGUCCGAGCGUCAUUUCAACCAUCAAGCCCCCGGGCUUGUGUUGGGGACCUGCGGCUGCCCGCAGGCCCUGAAAACCAGUGGCGGGCUCGCUGUCACACCGAGCGUAGUAGCAAUCACCUCGCUCAGGGCGUGCUGCGGGUUCCGGCCGUUAAACAGCCUUACAAAACCCAAGGUUGACCUCGGAUCAGGUAGGAAGACCCGCUGAACUUAAGC